AAGGCAGCAGGCGCGCAAAUUACCCACUCCCGGCACGGGGAGGUAGUGACGAAAAAUAACGAUACGGGACUCAUCCGAGGCCCCGUAAUCGGAAUGAGUACACUCUAAACCCUUUAACGAGGAUCAAUUGGAGGGCAAGUCUGGUGCCAGCAGCCGCGGUAAUUCCAGCUCCAAUAGCGUAUAUUAAAGUUGUUGCGGUUAAAAAGCUCGUAGUCGAAUCUGUGUCUCGCGCCGCCGGUUCAUCGCUCGCGGUGUUUAACUGGCGUGUCGCGGGACGUCCUGCCGGUGGGCUUAGCCUCUCGGGGCGGCCCAACUUGAAAUCCCACCGCGGUGCUCUUCGCUGAGUGUCGAGGUGGGCCGGCACGUUUACUUUGAACAAAUUAGAGUGCUUAAAGCAGGCUAAAACUUCGCCUGAAUACUGUGUGCAUGGAAUAAUGGAAUAGGACCUCGGUUCUAUUUUGUUGGUUUUCGGAACCCCGAGGUAAUGAUUAAUAGGAACGGAUGGGGGCAUUCGUAUUGCGACGUUAGAGGUGAAAUUCUUGGAUCGUCGCAAGACGGACAGAAGCGAAAGCAUUUGCCAAAAACGCUUUCAUUGAUCAAGAACGAAAGUUAGAGGUUCGAAGGCGAUCAGAUACCGCCCUAGUUCUAACCAUAAACGAUGCCAGCUAGCGAUCCGCCGACGUUCCUCCGAUGACUCGGCGGGCAGCUUCCGGGAAACCAAAGCUUUUGGGUUCCGGGGGAAGUAUGGUUGCAAAGCUGAAACUUAAAGGAAUUGACGGAAGGGCACCACCAGGAGUGGAGCCUGCGGCUUAAUUUGACUCAACACGGGAAACCUCACCAGGCCCGGACACCGGAAGGAUUGACAGAUUGAGAGCUCUUUCUUGAUUCGGUGGGUGGUGGUGCAUGGCCGUUCUUAGUUGGUGGAGCGAUUUGUCUGGUUAAUUCCGAUAACGAACGAGACUCUAGCCUGCUAACUAGGCGUAUUUUCGACAUCUCAAAGGCCCGCCGGCCAGGCGUUCUCGCGUCGGGUCGCGCGCGGUUUUUACUGUCGGCGUACUAUCAAUUCUUCUUAGAGGGACAGGCGGCUUCUAGCCGCACGAGAUUGAGCAAUAACAGGUCUGUGAUGCCCUUAGAUGUUCUGGGCCGCACGCGCGCUACACUGAAGGAAUCAGCGUGUCCUCCCUGGCCGAGAGGCCCGGGUAACCCGCUGAACCUCCUUCGUGCUAGGGAUUGGGGCUUGCAAUUGUUCCCCAUGAACGAGGAAUUCCCAGUAAGCGCGAGUCAUAAGCUCGCGUUGAUUACGUCCCUGCCCUUUGUACACACCGCCCGUCGCUACUACCGAUUGAAUGAUUUAGUGAGGUCUUCGGACCGGUACGCGGUGGCGCUUCCGCGUCGCCGAUGUUGCUGGAAGAUGACCAAA
RNAcentral lists this ribosomal RNA (1420 nucleotides) under Enochrus ochraceus. RNAcentral describes it as "SSU rRNA". It matches the Rfam family "Eukaryotic small subunit ribosomal RNA", at positions 422 to 1763 of the family's 1831-position model. Lineage: Eukaryota; Metazoa; Arthropoda; Insecta; Coleoptera; Hydrophilidae. The record is from RNAcentral.